CUGGACUCUUAACAACAGGAUUUCUCUUAUUUUUCUUAUCUCUUGAUUGCAGUUGGAAGAGUAAGAGCAAGCAGCAAAGAGCCUCUGGUGAAAGCUUCUGCAGUGGUAGCAGCACAGGAACAGCAGCUGCAAGUUUAGUGCUACUGAGAUAUUUCACUUCAUUUUUUGCCCAGUGGCCCAAAAAAAGGGUUUUUGGCAACAUAAAAGGAGAUUCGGAAAGUGGUGAAAAAAGGAAAGUUUCAGGCUGAAGAGGUUUGUCACCUCCCACUUCGACGGAAAGGAAUGACACAAACUACCAGACUUUCUUUCAGUCUCAGGGUGCUGUUAUUGCCUCCACUACACAAAAAAAAGAACCAAAGAAGAAGAAUAAAGGAGUUGAAAAUUGUGCAUUAAAAUAGUCUUUCAUAACAAGGUAAAUACAGCAUAUUUUUCAGUUGGUUUUAUCUUGUCAUAUGUCAGGAAGAAUAAACUAUAAUCUACAUUCUCUUCCUACUACAUUUCCCUGCCUAAAACUUGUUGAGUACUCAACUUGAGAACUUGUUUUUCUCCUUCAAAACAUUCAUUAAAACACAAAUGACUUUCCCCCUUUUGAUGUUGCCAAAGGAACU
This is a long non-coding RNA of Alligator sinensis (Chinese alligator), 608 nucleotides long. RefSeq lists it as uncharacterized. The transcript is spliced from 5 exons. Lineage: Eukaryota; Metazoa; Chordata; Crocodylia; Alligatoridae. The record is from RefSeq and is a predicted model, not a curated record.